GGCGACGAUGGGUAGCCGGCCUGAGAGGGUGAACGGCCACACUGGAACUGAGACACGGUCCAGACUCCUACGGGAGGCAGCAGUGGGGAAUAUUGCACAAUGGGGGAAACCCUGAUGCAGCGACGCCGCGUGAGCGAAGAAGGUCUUCGGAUCGUAAAGCUCUGUCCUAAAGGAAGAUAAUGACGGUACUUUGGGGGAGG
This 200-nucleotide ribosomal RNA is filed under the name uncultured Clostridium sp. RNAcentral describes it as "partial 16S ribosomal RNA". It matches the Rfam family "Bacterial small subunit ribosomal RNA", at positions 272 to 490 of the family's 1533-position model. The record is from RNAcentral. Lineage: Bacteria; Bacillati; Bacillota; Clostridia; Eubacteriales; Clostridiaceae.